This 30-nucleotide non-coding RNA is filed under the name Rattus norvegicus (Norway rat). Lineage: Eukaryota; Metazoa; Chordata; Mammalia; Rodentia; Muridae. The record is from RNAcentral.
UAGGAUGCUGGUGAUGUCACCAGUGGUGGU